Molecule: ribosomal RNA, 492 nt
Filed under: uncultured bacterium
Lineage: Bacteria
Description: bacterial SSU rRNA
Rfam family: Bacterial small subunit ribosomal RNA
Source: RNAcentral
AAAGGAAUAGACGGGGGCCCGCACAAGCGGUGGAGCAUGUGGUUUAAUUCGAUGAUACGCGAAAAACCUUACCUGGGCUUGAACUGUGCUUGAUCGGUGUAGAGAUACACCUUCCUUCGGGCAGGUACAGAGGUGCUGCAUGGUUGUCGUCAGCUCGUGUCGUGAGAUGUUGGGUUAAGUCCCGCAACGAGCGCAACCCCCACUCCUUGUUGCUACCAGGUUAUGCUGGGCACUCUAGGGGAACUGCCGGUGAUAAACCGGAGGAAGGUGGGGACGACGUCAAAUCAUCACGGCCCUUAUGUCCAGGGCUACACACGUGCUACAAUGGUCGGUACAAAGAGUUGCAAUGCCGCGAGGUGGAGCUAAUCUCAAAAAACCGAUCUCAGUUCGGAUUGUAGUCUGCAACUCGACUGCAUGAAGCUGGAAUCGCUAGUAAUCGUGGAUCAGCACGCCACGGUGAAUACGUUCCCGGGCCUUGUACACACCGCCCGU